This 497-nucleotide ribosomal RNA is filed under the name uncultured bacterium. RNAcentral describes it as "partial 16S ribosomal RNA". It matches the Rfam family "Bacterial small subunit ribosomal RNA", at positions 28 to 507 of the family's 1533-position model. The record is from RNAcentral.
GAUGAACGCUGGCGGCGUGCCUAAUACAUGCAAGUCGAGCGAACAGACGAGGAGCUUGCUCCUCUGACGUUAGCGGCGGACGGGUGAGUAACACGUGGAUAACCUACCUAUAAGACUGGGAUAACUUCGGGAAACCGGAGCUAAUACCGGAUAAUAUAUUGAACCGCAUGGUUCAAUAGUGAAAGACGGUCUUGCUGUCACUUAUAGAUGGAUCCGCGCCGCAUUAGCUAGUUGGUAAGGUAACGGCUUACCAAGGCAACGAUGAGUAGCCGACCUGAGAGGGUGAUCAGCCACACUGGAACUGAGACACGGUCCAGACUCCUACGGGAGGCAGCAGUAGGGAAUCUUCCGCAAUGGGCGAAAGCCUGACGGAGCAACGCCGCGUGAGUGAUGAAGGUCUUCGGAUCGUAAAACUCUGUUGUUAGGGAAGAACAAAUGUGUAAGUAACUAUGCACGUCAUGACGGUACCUAAUCAGAAAGCCACGGCUAACUACGUG